CAGCCGCCACGGUAAAACGGAGGAUCCGAGCGUUAUCCGGAAUUAUUGGGUUUAAAGGGUGCGUAGGCGGAUAGAUAAGUCAGUGGUGAAAGACGGUGGCUCAACCAUCGCAGUGCCGUUGAUACUGUUUAUCUUGAAUAUGGAUGAGGUAGGCGGAAUGUGGCAAGUAGCGGUGAAAUGCAUAGAUAUGCCACAGAACACCGAUUGCGAAGGCAGCUUACCAAGGCAAAAUUGACGCUGAGGCACGAAAGCGUGGGGAUCGAACAGGAUUAGAUACCCCUGUAGUCCCUGUCUCUUAUAA
RNAcentral lists this ribosomal RNA (301 nucleotides) under uncultured bacterium. RNAcentral describes it as "partial 16S ribosomal RNA". It matches the Rfam family "Bacterial small subunit ribosomal RNA", at positions 509 to 809 of the family's 1533-position model. The record is from RNAcentral.